UUCCCGAUCCGUCUUGUCCAUAUCUUUUUUGCGCAAAUACUCCCUUUCUCGUGCAUACUCAGCUUGAAGGGCCAACUCGUUAUCUUGGCAUUUUGCUCCAUUUCUAUUCUUAUGCUGUUUUGCCUUGCAAUUUCCUCCAAAAAUUUUGAAUUAUUAUUGCUUGAAUUACCCGCUUUCUUUGCCUUCGCGCCUUUCGACCAAUGGGCCUCGGCUCCUUUUCAAUGGGUGAGUCUUCACUCAUAGGAGAAUCGAGAGGUGAAUCCAAUGUCAUUGAAUCACGGAGUGGCAUCUCGUUUAACACACCGGCGGGACCCGUCGGAAUAAUUAUGAAGCGUUUGCAAUAUUUCACCACCUCCCAACAUUCAUGAUGGUUGAAACUUUUUUUGCCACCCCC
This 394-nucleotide long non-coding RNA is filed under the name Prunus dulcis (almond). Its description in RNAcentral is "sRNA ncRNA". Lineage: Eukaryota; Viridiplantae; Streptophyta; Magnoliopsida; Rosales; Rosaceae. The record is from RNAcentral.